This is a non-coding RNA of Hymenopellis radicata, 91 nucleotides long. The record is from the annotation of a GenBank genome assembly. NCBI's taxonomy places the organism in Eukaryota, Fungi, Basidiomycota, Agaricomycetes, Agaricales, Physalacriaceae.
UCCCUCUUAGCUCAGUGGUAGAGCGCGUCACUAGUACACAUAUUCAAUUUAUUCGAUGACGAGCUCAGUCGUUCAAGUCGGCUAGAGGGAA